This 1099-nucleotide ribosomal RNA is filed under the name Klebsiella pneumoniae. RNAcentral describes it as "bacterial SSU rRNA". It matches the Rfam family "Bacterial small subunit ribosomal RNA", at positions 55 to 1145 of the family's 1533-position model. Lineage: Bacteria; Pseudomonadati; Pseudomonadota; Gammaproteobacteria; Enterobacterales; Enterobacteriaceae. The record is from RNAcentral.
UGGCAAAGUCGAGCGGUAGCACAGAGAGCUUGCUCUCGGGUGACGAGCGGCGGACGGGUGAGUAAUGUCUGGGAAACUGCCUGAUGGAGGGGGAUAACUACUGGAAACGGUAGCUAAUACCGCAUAACGUCGCAAGACCAAAGUGGGGGACCUUCGGGCCUCAUGCCAUCAGAUGUGCCCAGAUGGGAUUAGCUAGUAGGUGGGGUAACGGCUCACCUAGGCGACGAUCCCUAGCUGGUCUGAGAGGAUGACCAGCCACACUGGAACUGAGACACGGUCCAGACUCCUACGGGAGGCAGCAGUGGGGAAUAUUGCACAAUGGGCGCAAGCCUGAUGCAGCCAUGCCGCGUGUGUGAAGAAGGCCUUCGGGUUGUAAAGCACUUUCAGCGGGGAGGAAGGCGAUGAGGUUAAUAACCUUGUCGAUUGACGUUACCCGCAGAAGAAGCACCGGCUAACUCCGUGCCAGCAGCCGCGGUAAUACGGAGGGUGCAAGCGUUAAUCGGAAUUACUGGGCGUAAAGCGCACGCAGGCGGUCUGUCAAGUCGGAUGUGAAAUCCCCGGGCUCAACCUGGGAACUGCAUUCGAAACUGGCAGGCUAGAGUCUUGUAGAGGGGGGUAGAAUUCCAGGUGUAGCGGUGAAAUGCGUAGAGAUCUGGAGGAAUACCGGUGGCGAAGGCGGCCCCCUGGACAAAGACUGACGCUCAGGUGCGAAAGCGUGGGGAGCAAACAGGAUUAGAUACCCUGGUAGUCCACGCCGUAAACGAUGUCGAUUUGGAGGUUGUGCCCUUGAGGCGUGGCUUCCGGAGCUAACGCGUUAAAUCGACCGCCUGGGGAGUACGGCCGCAAGGUUAAAACUCAAAUGAAUUGACGGGGGCCCGCACAAGCGGUGGAGCAUGUGGUUUAAUUCGAUGCAACGCGAAGAACCUUACCUGGUCUUGACAUCCACAGAACUUUCCAGAGAUGGAUUGGUGCCUUCGGGAACUGUGAGACAGGUGCUGCAUGGCUGUCGUCAGCUCGUGUUGUGAAAUGUUGGGUUAAGUCCCGCAACGAGCGCAACCCUUAUCCUUUGUUGCCAGCGGUUAGGCCGGGAACUCAAAGG